GACGAACGCUGGCGGCGUGCCUAAUACAUGCAAGUCGAGCGAGCGGAACCAGCAGAUCUGCUUCGGCAGUGACGCUGGGAAAGCGAGCGGCGGUUGGGUGAGUAACACGUGGGGAACCUGCCCCAAAGUCUGGGAUACCACUUGGAAACAGGUGCUAAUACCGGAUAAGAAAGCAGAUCGCAUGAUCAGCUUUUAAAAGGCGGCGUAAGCUGUCGCUAUGGGAUGGCCCCGCGGUGCAUUAGCUAGUUGGUAGAGUAACGGCCUACCAAGGCAAUGAUGCAUAGCCGAGUUGAGAGACUGAUCGGCCACAUUGGGACUGAGACGCGGCCCAAACUCCUACGGGAGGCAGCAGUAGGGAAUCUUCCACAAUGGACGCAAGUCUGAUGGAGCAACGCCGCGUGAGUGAAGAAGGUUUUCGGAUCGUAAAGCUCUGUUGUUGGUGAAGAAGGAUAGAGGUAGUAACUGGCCUUUAUUUGACGUAAUCAACCAGAAAGUC
Molecule: ribosomal RNA, 496 nt
Filed under: Lactobacillus sp. oral taxon 461
Lineage: Bacteria; Bacillati; Bacillota; Bacilli; Lactobacillales; Lactobacillaceae
Description: bacterial SSU rRNA
Rfam family: Bacterial small subunit ribosomal RNA
Source: RNAcentral